CCUACGGGAGGCUGCAGUGGGGAAUAUUGCGCAAUGGGCGAAAGCCUGACGCAGCGACGCCGCGUGAGGGAUGAAGGUCUUCGGAUCGUAAACCUCUGUCAGCAGGGAAGAACGGUCACUGUGCUAAUCAGCAGUGAAUUGACGGUACCUGCAAAGGAAGCACCGGCUAACUCCGUGCCAGCAGCCGCGGUCAUACGGGGGGUGCGAGCGGUAGUCGGAAUUACUGGGCGUAAAGCGUUCGUAGGCGGUAUGGCAAGUAAAGGGGGAAAUCCCCGCGCUCAACGUGGGAACUGCCUUUGAAACUGGCAAACUGGAGUGGGUGAGAGGAUAGCGGAAUUCCAGGUGUAGGAGUGAAAUCCGUAGAUAUCUGGAGGAACAUCAGUGGCGAAGGCGACUAUCUGGCACAUAACUGACGCUGAGGAGCGAAAGCGUGGGUAGCAAACAGGAUUAGAUACCCGUGUAGUC
This 465-nucleotide ribosomal RNA is filed under the name uncultured bacterium. RNAcentral's name for it is "partial 16S ribosomal RNA". It matches the Rfam family "Bacterial small subunit ribosomal RNA", at positions 338 to 795 of the family's 1533-position model. The record is from RNAcentral.